UACAGAGGUCUCAAGCGUUGUUCGGAUUCAUUGGGCGUAAAGGGUGUGUAGGUGGCGCCGUUAGUCGGGUGUGAAAUUUCGGAGCUUAACUCCGAAACUGCAUUCGAUACUGCCGUGCUUGAGGACUGGAGAGGAGACUGGAAUUUACGGUGUAGCAGUGAAAUGCGUAGAUAUCGUAAGGAAGACCAGUGGCGAAGGCGGGUCUCUGGACAGUUCCUGACACUGAGGCACGAAGGCCAGGGGAGCAAACGGG
RNAcentral lists this ribosomal RNA (253 nucleotides) under uncultured bacterium. Its description in RNAcentral is "partial 16S ribosomal RNA". It matches the Rfam family "Bacterial small subunit ribosomal RNA", at positions 524 to 776 of the family's 1533-position model. The record is from RNAcentral.